Molecule: ribosomal RNA, 577 nt
Filed under: Schizosaccharomyces pombe (fission yeast)
Lineage: Eukaryota; Fungi; Ascomycota; Schizosaccharomycetes; Schizosaccharomycetales; Schizosaccharomycetaceae
Description: eukaryotic LSU rRNA
Rfam family: Eukaryotic large subunit ribosomal RNA
Source: RNAcentral
AAAUAACCAUGAUUCCCUCAGUAACGGCGAGUGAAGCGGGAAAAGCUCAAAUUUGAAAUCUGGCAACAUUUCUUUUGUUGUCCGAGUUGUAAUUUCAAGAAGCUGCUUUGAGUGUAGACGAUCGGUCUAAGUUCCUUGGAACAGGACGUCAGAGAGGGUGAGAACCCCGUCUUUGGUCGAUUGGAUAUGCCAUAUAAAGCGCUUUCGAAGAGUCGAGUUGUUUGGGAAUGCAGCUCUAAAUGGGUGGUAAAUUUCAUCUAAAGCUAAAUAUUGGCGAGAGACCGAUAGCGAACAAGUAGAGUGAUCGAAAGAUGAAAAGAACUUUGAAAAGAGAGUUAAAUAGUACGUGAAAUUGCUGAAAGGGAAGCAUUGGAAAUCAGUCUUACCUGGGUGAGAUCAGUAGUCUCUUCGCGAGACUAUGCACUCUGAACCUGUGGUAGGUCAGCAUCAGUUUUCGGGGGCGGAAAAAGAAUAAGGGAAGGUGGCUUUCCGGGUUCUGCCUGGGGAGUGUUUAUAGCCCUUGUUGUAAUACGUCCACUGGGGACUGAGGACUGCGGCUUCGUGCCAAGGAUGCUGA